Molecule: long non-coding RNA, 536 nt
Filed under: Phoenix dactylifera (date palm)
Lineage: Eukaryota; Viridiplantae; Streptophyta; Magnoliopsida; Arecales; Arecaceae
Description: long non-coding RNA (PDAC_LNC012013)
Source: RNAcentral
UGCAGAUUGGCUGCAGUAGGUUCAUUGUAGGAGUAGGGGUGCAUCUAGAUGGAAUCUAUCGAUCUUGAUAGGUUAAGAGAGAUCCUAUAUGAUUUAUGAGACUGAGUUCGUAAAUCCUCGGCCGGGGUAAUAUGUACAGUGGAAGAGGAGUUUUCCAUUCUCGAACUUAAGUCGAAUAAAUCUUGACAUAUGACAGACGAUGGGGUUUGACGAGUUAUCCAUGACCUCCAUUCUGUAGGGAUCCAUGAUAGAAGGACUGUAUCAUACGAUAACUGCACCUAGAGGUUCAUCAUUUUAUUCUGCUGGGUAGCCACUACAUACUGCUAGGUGUCACUGGUGGAUGGUGAGACUCACGGGGACCAUCUUGAUGGCCGAUGAUUCUCGGUGAGUUGAGUUGGAAUUGUUCCAACCCAUUGAAAGGAGUUUUCAAUGAUAUUGUGAUAGAGAUCGCAAUAUAUCUCACUACCAGACAGAAUAGAACCUAUGGGGUCACACACAUUAGAGGUAUUGACCGAUCCGAUGGUUGAAUUGUGAUU